CAAUAGCGUAUAUUUAAGUUGCUGCAGUUAAAAAGCUCGUAGUUGGAUUUCGGGUGGGAAUGGCCGGUCCGCCGUUUCGGUGUGCACUUGCUACGCCCACCUUGCUGCCGGGGACGUGCUCUUGAGUUCACGCUCGGGACACGGAGUCGGCGAGGUUACUUUGAGUAAAUUAGAGUGUUCAAAGCAGGCCUACGCUCUGAAUACAUUAGCAUGGAAUAACACGAUAGGACUCUGGCCUAUCUUGGUGGUCUGUAGGACCGGAGUAAUGAUUAAGAGGGACAGUCGGGGGCAUUCGUAUUUCAUUGUCAGAGGUGAAAUUCUUGGAUUUAUGAAAGACGAACUACUGCGAAAGCAUUUGCCAAGGAUGUUUUCAUUAA
This 377-nucleotide ribosomal RNA is filed under the name uncultured eukaryote. Its description in RNAcentral is "partial 18S ribosomal RNA". It matches the Rfam family "Eukaryotic small subunit ribosomal RNA", at positions 592 to 976 of the family's 1831-position model. The record is from RNAcentral.